UGGGGAAUAUUGCACAAUGGGCGAAAGCCUGAUGCAGCGACGCCGCGUGAGGGAUGACGGCCUUCGGGUUGUAAACCUCUUUCAGUAGGGAAGAAGCCGCGAGGUGACGGUACCUGCAGAAGAAGCGCCGGCUAACUACGUGCCAGCAGCCGCGGUAAU
RNAcentral lists this ribosomal RNA (159 nucleotides) under uncultured Arthrobacter sp. RNAcentral describes it as "partial 16S ribosomal RNA". It matches the Rfam family "Bacterial small subunit ribosomal RNA", at positions 355 to 524 of the family's 1533-position model. The record is from RNAcentral. Lineage: Bacteria; Bacillati; Actinomycetota; Actinomycetes; Micrococcales; Micrococcaceae.